GACGAACGCAGGCGGCGUGCUUAACACAUGCAAGCCGAACGGUGAAGGGGCCUGCUUUUGUGGGUCCUGGAUGAGUGGCGAACGGGUGAGUAACACGUGAGUAACCUGCCCCCUUCUUCUGGAUAACCGCAUGAAAGUGUGGCUAAUACGGGAUAUUCUGGGUCUGUCGCAUGGUGGGCCUGGGAAAGAUUGCGCCUUUUUUGGUGUUUUUGGUGGGGGAUGGGCUCGCGGCCUAUCAGCUUGUUGGUGGGGUGAUGGCCUACCAAGGCGGUGACGGGUAGCCGGCCUGAGAGGGUGGACGGUCACACUGGGACUGAGACACGGCCCAGACUCCUACGGGAGGCAGCAGUGGGGAAUAUUGCACAAUGGGCGCAAGCCCUGAUGCAGCGACGCCGCGUGAAGGGAAUGGAAGGCCC
This 416-nucleotide ribosomal RNA is filed under the name Actinomyces naeslundii. RNAcentral describes it as "bacterial SSU rRNA". It matches the Rfam family "Bacterial small subunit ribosomal RNA", at positions 28 to 417 of the family's 1533-position model. Lineage: Bacteria; Bacillati; Actinomycetota; Actinomycetes; Actinomycetales; Actinomycetaceae. The record is from RNAcentral.